This 472-nucleotide ribosomal RNA is filed under the name uncultured bacterium. RNAcentral's name for it is "bacterial SSU rRNA". It matches the Rfam family "Bacterial small subunit ribosomal RNA", at positions 355 to 825 of the family's 1533-position model. The record is from RNAcentral.
UGGGGAAUAUUGGACAAUGGGGGAAACCCUGAUCCAGCGACGCCGCGUGUGUGAAGAAGGCCUGCGGGUUGUAAAGCACUUUCGGUGGGAACGAAAUAUGCCGGGCUAAUACCCCGGUAGGCUGACGUUACUCAAUGAAGAAGCACCGGCUAACUCUGUGCCAGCAGCCGCGGUAAUACAGAGGGUGCGAGCGUUAAUCGGAAUCACUGGGCGUAAAGCGUACGUAGGUGGGCAGUUAAGUCAGGGGUGAAAGCCCGAGGCUCAACCUCGGAAUUGCCUCUGAUACUGGCUGUCUAGAGUUCGAGAGAGGUGAGUGGAAUUCCUAGUGUAGAGGUGAAAUUCGUAGAUAUUAGGAAGAACACCGGUGGCGAAGGCGGCUCACUGGCUCGAUACUGACACUGAGGUGCGAAAGCGUGGGGAGCAAACAGGAUUAGAUACCCUAGUAGUCCCUGAGCGGGCUGGCAAGGCGCAU